RNAcentral lists this ribosomal RNA (293 nucleotides) under uncultured eukaryote. RNAcentral's name for it is "partial 18S ribosomal RNA". It matches the Rfam family "Eukaryotic small subunit ribosomal RNA", at positions 6 to 298 of the family's 1831-position model. The record is from RNAcentral.
GGUUGAUCCUGCCAGUAGUCAUAUGCUUGUCUCAAAGAUUAAGCCAUGCAUGUCUAAGUAUAAGCAAUUGCAUACAGUGAAACUGCGAAUGGCUCAUUAAAUCAGUUAUAGUUUAUUUGAUAAUACCUUACUACUUGGAUAUCCGUGGUAAUUCUAGAGCUAAUACAUGCGUCAGAUCCCGACUUCUGGAAGGGAUGUAUUUAUUAGAUAAAAAACCAAUGGCCGUCUCGGCCUCCUUUGGUGAUUCAUAAUAACUUUUCGAAUCGUAUGACCUUGCGUCGACGAUGGUUCAU